RNAcentral lists this ribosomal RNA (433 nucleotides) under uncultured Flavobacteriia bacterium. Its description in RNAcentral is "bacterial SSU rRNA". It matches the Rfam family "Bacterial small subunit ribosomal RNA", at positions 410 to 840 of the family's 1533-position model. Lineage: Bacteria; Pseudomonadati; Bacteroidota; Flavobacteriia. The record is from RNAcentral.
GAAUGCCCUAUGGGUUGUAAACUGCUUUUAUUUAGGAAUAAACCCCUUUACGUGUAGAGGGCUGAAGGUACUAAACGAAUAAGCACCGGCUAACUCCGUGCCAGCAGCCGCGGUAAUACGGAGGGUGCAAGCGUUAUCCGGAAUCAUUGGGUUUAAAGGGUCCGCAGGCGGAUGUUUAAGUCAGUGGUGAAAUCCUGCAGCUUAACUGCAGAACUGCCAUUGAUACUGUACAUCUUGAAUUCGGUCGAAGUGGGCGGAAUGUGUAGUGUAGCGGUGAAAUGCAUAGAUAUUACACAGAACACCGAUAGCGAAGGCAGCUCACUAGGCCUGGAUUGACGCUCAGGGACGAAAGCGUGGGGAUCAAACAGGAUUAGAUACCCUGGUAGUCCACGCUGUAAACGAUGAUUACUCGUUUUCGGCGAUAUACAGUCGG